CUCUUAAUUUUCCAUUUGAUUGCAAUAUAAGAAAAUGAGUAUUACAUGACAUUUGUCCUCAUUUGUUCUGCCUGGAUCGACCAAAAUAAUUUACUUGGUCUCAGUUUUCACCCGUGGGAUACUCUUGGCUUCGUUCUUGUCUAACCAUGACCAUAAAUGAGAAACAAUGGAGGCCAAGGCAGCCAACGAAAUAGUUCAAGCCUUACCAAACAAAAAAACUAACCUUAGUAAACUAAGUCCUCAAGCAAAUAACACAGAUUAAAAUGGCUUCAAAUUAAAUUUUCUCAAGUUUUGUCGGUAACCCAGCAAGCACCGGAAUUAAUUGUUCGGGCGAGGCCAACGCCGCAUGAAUUAAAGCAACUUUCAGAUAUGGAUGAUCAAGAAAGUCUAAGGUUUCAGAUUCCAGGAAUAUUAUUUUACAAGAACAACCCUUCAUCAUCACCUACUGUCCAAAAAGAAAAGAUCCCGUGAAGGUCAUCAAGGAAGCUUUAAGUAAAGCACUUGUAUAUUAUUAUCCUUUUUCAUAUACGCUUGUAAAAGGCCCCAACCGCAAGCUUAUGGUGGAUUGCAAGUGAAGGGAUCUUGUUGCUUAAGGCUGAAGCUAACUUCAAACUUGAGCAGCUUGGCGAUGCUGUUCAGCCACCAUACCCAUAUUUGGAACAACUGCUCUGUAAUGUUCCAGGUUCCCAAGGCAUUCUUGGUUGCCCAUUGCUCUUAAUUCAAGUGAGUUUAUCUAUUACUUGUAACCAAGUGACUUUACUUUCGCAUGCAUUCUCAGAUUAUAUAGUUUCUAAAUUCUUUUAACUAAACAUAAAUGUCUAUUUAGUUCCUAGAGUUUUGAGUUAAUUGCAGAAGUAAUUCUUAUAUUUUAAAAAUUUUUCCAAAACAUCCAUGUUAUAAAUAUGUUUCCAUUGCAAUACCUACUUAAUUAUUCUCUACUAUUCUUCUAUUACAUAAUAGUUUUGUUUGAAUUUUAUCAGUAAAAAGUUAGAUCCAACAAUUAUAAAAGUAGCAACAAGGAGCCCACAAAGACUUGGUCAAAUAUUUUUCUUUAGUUACUCACCUGAGCUUAAAUCUUGAGAGAGAUACAAGCUAAAAAGUCAAUUUGAGUUUUGCCCAUUCUCCAACUUCUGAAAAAUAAUAACAAUAAUGGAAAUGAUAUUUUGGGUAAUUUUUCAAAACAUGAAAAGCAACUGAGUAAUUGUCCCCGGACUUAAAAUAAUUUAUCUUUUUAACUAAUCAUUACUUUAAUCAUAAUAUUACUCUUAAUUAAUUAUCUAAUGAUUUUCUUCCUAUGAGUGUAUAAGGUAACUCGAUGUGGGGGAUUCAUUCUUGCAUUACGUUUUAACCACACAAUGUGUGAUGCCAAGUGACUUUACUUUCGCAUGCAUACUCAGAUUAUAUAGUUUCUAAAUUCUUUUAACUAAACAUAAAUGUCUAUUUAGUUCCUAGAGUUUUGAGUUAAUUGCAGAAGUAAUUCUUAUAUUUUAAAAAUUUUUCCAAAACAUCCAUGUUAUAAAUAUGUUUCCAUUGCAAUACCUACUUAAUUAUUCUCUACUAUUCUUCUAUUACAUAAUAGUUUUGUUUGAAUUUUAUCAGUAAAAAGUUAGAUCCAACAAUUAUAAAAGUAGCAACAAGGAGCCCACAAAGACUUGGUCAAAUAUUUUUCUUUAGUUACUCACCUGAGCUUAAAUCUUGAGAGAGAUACAAGCUAAAAAGUCAAUUUGAGUUUUGCCCAUUCUCCAACUUCUGAAAAAUAAUAACAAUAAUGGAAAUGAUAUUUUGGGUAAUUUUUCAAAACAUGAAAAGCAACUGAGUAAUUGUCCCCGGACUUAAAAUAAUUUAUCUUUUUAACUAAUCAUUACUUUAAUCAUAAUAUUACUCUUAAUUAAUUAUCUAAUGAUUUUCUUCCUAUGAGUGUAUAAGGUAACUCGAUGUGGGGGAUUCAUUCUUGCAUUACGUUUUAACCACACAAUGUGUGAUGCAAUUGGUUUGGUACAGUUCUUAAAAACCAUAGAGGAGAUGGCACGAGGUUAAGAUAAACCUUCCCUACUCCCUGUUUGGCAACGGGAAUACUUAUGUGCGACAAUUCCACCACAAGUAACAUGUGACGCCCAAAAUGAAUAUGAGCAAAUGAACUCCAUCCCGAGUGCCUUCACAGCUGCCAACUCAAAUGACAUGGACCACAAAUCAUUGUACUUUGGUCUAAUGAGAUAGAUAAAAAAAUAUAGAUUUUAAUAUAUUAACAGAUAAAAAAAUAAUUUUUAAUGUAUUAAAAUUUGUUUUUUAAAGUAUUAAAAUUUGUUUUUUAAAUUUUAAUAUGUAUCUAAAGUGAGGAUAAAGUAAAGAUGCUCUACUAGUAAAGGAUUAUAUAUAUUAAAUAUGAAAAUCAGUUCGAGCCAUCAUAAAAUUCUUUUCCUUUAUUACAAAAAACAUAUGGGACAGUAUAGAUCUUUCUCCAAUUACUAGUGAAAACAUAUUUCUAGGCUAUGUUUAACAAACCUCUAAAUUCUGAUACAAAUUAUUCUCAAUAGAUCUCAAAUUGUAAACAUUUCAAUAUGCUUUACUAUGUAUUGAACAUGAUGACGAGUACGUGUCUUGUAAAAUUAGGACGCUAUUGAAUAUGUUGUGAUAAGGUGGUGUACUGUAAAUUAGGAGGCAAAUUCUCCUUCCAAAAAAAAAAAUUAAUUAUUAUUUUAAUAGCCAAUUUUGGCUAUUAAAGGGGAGAGCUCUCAUUUCGAUGUGUGCAUUCAAUUUGUGAGAAAAUAACAAGGAAAGAGCUUGAGAGAUUUUAAGAGCUUAAAAUUAUAAAGGUCUUGAGAGUCUAGUGAGUGAGAGAUUGGGUGUAUUGGAGUUUUGGGUAGUGAGCCAAAAUAUUACAAUACUUGUAAUCCUUAUUUCACUAGUGAAAUAUUUUCCUUCUGUCUUCGCCCGUGGACGUAGGCUAAAAGCUUAACCACGUAAUUUUCUGGUGUCCUCUUUUUUUGUGCUUAUUCUUUAUUUUCUUCCAAUUUCACUUUAGCUGCGUGUCUACUUCACCCAUCAAUUUCCUAACAUAGAUUACUAAGCUGUAGUAAUAUUUAGGGAAAAAAGAGAGAAAGAGAAAGAGAGAUUGCAAAAACCACACAUUAAAAUCCUCAUCUAUUUUACAUUUCCAUAUUGAGCAUCACAUCAAGAGUGGGUACACUUUCACUGAAUCGUGGUCUCUAAUGCAUAGGCGGUUGGAAAUUAAUUUUAUUACAAUCGGAUUCUUCUUAUUUUUGGAUAGGAAUGGAUUCAUGAACAUACAUUGUAUAUACAACAUAAUGGUCAAUUUUCACAUUUUCAACGUUUAGUAAUAUGAUUAGAAAUUUUAAAUUAUUAAAUUUUAUAUUUAUUGAAAGUGAUAGAGGCACUCGUAUUAACUUGCGCUCUUAAUUUUCCAUUUGAUUGCAAUAUAAGAAAAUGAGUAUCACAUGACAUUUGUCCUCAUUUGUUCUGUCUGGAUCGACCAAAUAAUUUACUUGGUCUCAGUUUUCACCCGUGGAAUACUCUUGCUUCUUUCUUGUCUAACCAUGACCAUAAAUGAGAAACAAUGGAGGCCAAGGCAGCCAACGAAAUAGUUCAAGCCUCACCAAACAAAAAAAAAAAAAACUAAGUCCUCAAGCAAAUAACACAGAUUAAAAUGGCUUCAAAUUAAAUUUUCUCAAAUUUUGUCGGUAACCCGGCAAGCACUGGAAUUAAUUGUUCCGGCAAGGCCAACGCCGCGUGAAUUAAAGCCACUUUCGGAUAUGGAUGAUCAAGAAAGUCUAAGGUUUCAGGUUCCAGGAAUAUUAUUUUACAAGAACAACCCUUCAUCAUCACCUACUGUCCAAAAAGAAAAGAUCCCGUGGAGGUCAUCAAGGAAGCUUUAAGUAAAGCACUUGUAUAUUAUUAUCCUUUUUCAUGUACGCUUGUAAAAGGCCCCAACCGCAAGCUUAUGGUGGAUU
This 3968-nucleotide long non-coding RNA is filed under the name Citrus sinensis (sweet orange). Its description in RNAcentral is "long non-coding RNA (CSIN_LNC001000)". The record is from RNAcentral. Lineage: Eukaryota; Viridiplantae; Streptophyta; Magnoliopsida; Sapindales; Rutaceae.